This 1180-nucleotide long non-coding RNA is filed under the name Naja naja (Indian cobra). RNAcentral's name for it is "lncRNA (ENSNNAG00000013159.1)". Lineage: Eukaryota; Metazoa; Chordata; Lepidosauria; Squamata; Elapidae. The record is from RNAcentral.
GCAUUGUUCAUCUUUCCUUAGCUUCGCAGGACCAAGCCAGACAAAGCCGAAAUCUCCCAUGAUACCUUUAAUUAAAUACGUUAUUCUAUUUCAUGCACUCGAGGAAAAUGGGUUCCGCUGGGAACCGGCUGGGACUUUUAAAGCCAACUUCAAGCAGGGGUUUGAAAUCUUAAAAGAGUGCCAAUUCUGAUCAUUUCUCACCGCCUCCCCCUCCCAAAUGCUAAACUGUAACCAACCCGAAGAUGAAUUUGGAUUCAGGCUGCGUGGAGAAACCUAAAAGAGUUCGAGGGAAGGAAAGUCACCUGUCCAGGUGAAAUCGUAGCUGUCUUUUUUAACCAAGCUUAACACCAGACAGUCCAAACUGGGUCAGCGUGAAAAAUCCACAGCGAUUGGAACGGGUUAGAAUUCUAACUGGCGUAUUUACGCAGCACAUUUGAAAUCCGACACAGGGGGGCACAUUCAGUGAAGGAUUGCGAUGCGUCCCGCAUGCCAGCUUGCGAUCCUCCACCUUGAGUGACAGGAGCCAGCAGAGGAAAAGGACACACGGACACAGACACACACACACGCCAAAGGCCUUCCCGGCAAGGGUGGCGUGCUGUGACCCCCAAAAUUGUCCAGCUCUUUCCCUUCGGAAAGGCCGGCGCCCAACGGGUGCGUUUCAUCUCCAGCGCUGCAGCUUCUGUCGCGAAGCGCUUGGCAACAAAAAGGAUCGCCGGUGGAUCCCAAACAUAGCAACGGCGGGGAGGAGGGAUCGAAAGGUCGGAGAAGAGAGCCGGGCGACUGGCGUGAAGGUCACAAAAGCGAAACAACGAAGGAGGGAAGGAGAAAACAGGAGGCUUGUCGGUCCAGGCUUUCGCCUCCUUCCAAGGCACGCGUGGGGAAGGAACGCGCCGAGCGCGCUCUGCACAGGCUCAGAGGUGCUUAUUGAGGAAAGACACAAAUCCAGAGUCUCUGUUUUCAGUUACUUUUUGCUGCAAAAAUCAUGGUUGGAGGAAGUUUCAAGAUUUGCACGUGGGUGCAAACUGCCCACUUCACAAUUGGCUGAAAGAGGCAGUCACGCCCAGCUGCCUCGAUCUGGGGAUCAAAGAAAGAAAAAAAACAGCUACUUUUGUGAUUCUUGCAUUUGGUGCAAAACAAUAGGAGAAAAGAUUUUUAAAAGCCAUUAUAGCAAAAAAGAAUA